Molecule: long non-coding RNA, 588 nt
Organism: Cylas formicarius (sweet potato weevil)
Lineage: Eukaryota; Metazoa; Arthropoda; Insecta; Coleoptera; Brentidae
Exons: 4
Source: RefSeq, a predicted model, not a curated record
CUAAUUGCAAUAAAUGUAUGCAACCUACCUUUCAGACAAUUUCAGGUCACCAUCGUGAAUAAAGGGCACCUUUUGGAACCUGUUAUACUUUUCUUUAAAUUCUUCGGUUAAAUGUUCCCCUAAAGCCCUAUUUGCAACAGGACAAGCUUCAAAGGGGAUUUUCAUGAGCCUGAAAAACACAUACAAAGCCCGCGAUGGCUGUGAUAGCAGAUCAUAGUAUAAUUUUAUGGAAACCAUCCUGCUUGGAACUUGCUUUAACCGCUUUUCAAGUGGAUUUUGGGUUAUCAAGUUUUUAAUCAUUUGCAAGAACUUUGAACUGCUCUGUUGCCACUUCUUGAGAAUUUUUCUAAUCACAAGAGGACACAUUCCCAGAAUACACCCAAGCGUCACUCCAAAAACACGUCCAAAAUUGGCAGCCUUACGUGAACUUUUCAUUUCCAACUGUAUGGGAGAUAAUUUCGGAGUGCAGCUGCUGCCAUAGUUGACAAGCAAAAAUACGAACCCAGGUAAAAGUCAAUGUAAUCACCGAAUAUUAACAUGAAGAAAUUAUCCAAAAAUCCAAAUCCAAUGAAUGGAAUAGAAUUCGCC